UACCCCGCUGGACUUAAGCAUAUCAAUAAGCGGAGGAAAAGAAACCAACAGGGAUUGCCUCAGUAACUGCGAGUGAAGCGGCAGAAGCUCAAAUUUGAAAUCUAGCACCUUCGGUGCUCGAGUUGUAAUUUGGAGGGGUAUCUUCGGAAUCGGAACCCGCUCUAUGUUCCUUGGAACAGGACGUCAUGGAGGGUGAGAAUCCCGUGCACGGGUGGGUUUCCGUUUUCCAUGCGAAGUGCCUCCGACGAGUCGAGUUGUUUGGGAAUGCAGCUCAAAAUGGGUGGUAAAUUUCAUCUAAAGCUAAAUACAGGCGAGAGACCGAUAGCGCACAAGUAGAGUGAUCGAAAGAUGAAAAGCACUUUGAAAAGAGAGUUAAAAAGUACGUGAAAUUGUUGAAAGGGAAGCGCUUGAGAUCAAACUCGGCCGUUGGCGACCAACCGUGCUUCUGUGCGGUGUACUCGUCGCCGGCUGGGCCAGCAUCGGUUCCGAACCGCGUGGGAAACACGGAAGGGGAAUGUAGCUCGUGCUCGCGCGCGAGUGUUAUAGACCCGGCCUGUCGAUGCCGCCAGUUGGGACCGAGGUCAGUGCGUCACCCUGG
This 598-nucleotide ribosomal RNA is filed under the name Neottiella sp. RNAcentral describes it as "partial large subunit ribosomal RNA". It matches the Rfam family "Eukaryotic large subunit ribosomal RNA", at positions 24 to 628 of the family's 3401-position model. Lineage: Eukaryota; Fungi; Ascomycota; Pezizomycetes; Pezizales; Pyronemataceae. The record is from RNAcentral.